UACGGAGGAUGCAAGCGUUAUCCGGAAUUAUUGGGCGUAAAGCGUCCGCAGGUGGCACUUCAAGUCUGCUGUCAAAGACCGGGGCUUAACCCUGGAAAGGCAGUGGAAACUGAAGCGCUAGAGUGUGGCAGGGGUAGAGGGAAUUCCCGGUGUAGCGGUGAAAUGCGUAGAGAUCAGGAAGAACAUCGGUGGCGAAGGCGGCAUCCUGGACCAUAACUGACGCUGAGGCGCGAAAGCUAGGGGAGCAAACGGG
RNAcentral lists this ribosomal RNA (253 nucleotides) under uncultured bacterium. RNAcentral's name for it is "partial 16S ribosomal RNA". It matches the Rfam family "Bacterial small subunit ribosomal RNA", at positions 524 to 776 of the family's 1533-position model. The record is from RNAcentral.